Molecule: unclassified non-coding RNA, 261 nt
Filed under: Hevea brasiliensis (rubber tree)
Lineage: Eukaryota; Viridiplantae; Streptophyta; Magnoliopsida; Malpighiales; Euphorbiaceae
Source: RNAcentral
GUCGUCGCUUUGGAGCUUCGUUCUCGUAACUUUUACUUCACCCCUCAGGCCUGCAAAGCCAAGUAUGAGGAUUUACAAAAGCGUUACGCGGGCUGCAAUGCUUGGUUUGAAGAGCUAAGAAAGAGACGAGUUGAAGAACUGAAGCGAGAAUUGGAGAAAUCGGAAAGCUCAAUUGGGUCUCUCAUCACAAAGAUUGAAAGCUUGAAGGCUGAGAAAGAACGGUCUUCUCAGAUUAAUUAUGGUUCCUGUAUUCACACUGAA